This 504-nucleotide ribosomal RNA is filed under the name uncultured bacterium. RNAcentral describes it as "bacterial SSU rRNA". It matches the Rfam family "Bacterial small subunit ribosomal RNA", at positions 28 to 521 of the family's 1533-position model. The record is from RNAcentral.
GAUGAACGCUAGCGAUAGGCCUAACACAUGCAAGUCGAGGGGCAUCACAUGAAGUAGCAAUACGGAUGGUGGCGACCGGCGCACGGGUGAGUAACACGUAUGCAACCUGCCUUCAACAAGGGGAUAACCCGUUGAAAGACGGACUAAUACCCUAUAACACAGGGGUCCCGCAUGGGAAUAUUUGUUAAAGGACAACCGGUUGAAGAUGGGCAUGCGUUCCAUUAGCUAGUUGGCGGGGUAACGGCCCACCAAGGCAACGAUGGAUAGGGGAACUGAGAGGUUUAUCCCCCACACUGGUACUGAGACACGGACCAGACUCCUACGGGAGGCAGCAGUGGGGAAUAUUGGACAAUGGGCGCAAGCCUGAUCCAGCCAUGCCGCGUGAAGGAUGAAGGUGCUAUGCAUUGUAAACUUCUUUUGUCCCGGAAUAAACCCCUGAUUUCUAUCGGGGCUGAAUGUACGGGAAGAAUAAGGGACGGCUAACUUCGUGCCAGCAGCCGCGGU